RNAcentral lists this ribosomal RNA (439 nucleotides) under uncultured Bacteroidota bacterium. RNAcentral's name for it is "bacterial SSU rRNA". It matches the Rfam family "Bacterial small subunit ribosomal RNA", at positions 28 to 461 of the family's 1533-position model. Lineage: Bacteria; Pseudomonadati; Bacteroidota. The record is from RNAcentral.
GAUGAACGCUAGCGGCAGGCUUAAUACAUGCAAGCCGAGGAGCAGCAUGAAGUAGCAAUACUUUGAUGGCGACCGGCAAACGGGUGCGGAACACGUACACAACCUUCCUUUAAGUGGGGAAUAGCCCAGAGAAAUUUGGAUUAAUACCCCGUAACACAACGAAGUGGCAUCACUUUGUUGUUAUAGUUUCGGCGCUUAAUGAUGGGUGUGCGUAUGAUUAGAUAGUUGGCGAGGUAACGGCUCACCAAGUCUACGAUCAUUAGCUGAUGUGAGAGCAUGAUCAGCCACACGGGCACUGAGACACGGGCCCGACUCCUACGGGAGGCAGCAGUAAGGAAUAUUGGUCAAUGGACGCAAGUCUGAACCAGCCAUGCCGCGUGAAGGAUUAAGGUCCUCUGGAUUGUAAACUUCUUUUAUAUGGGACGAAAAAAGGUCUUUC